This 807-nucleotide ribosomal RNA is filed under the name uncultured organism. Its description in RNAcentral is "SSU rRNA". It matches the Rfam family "Bacterial small subunit ribosomal RNA", at positions 28 to 804 of the family's 1533-position model. The record is from RNAcentral.
GACGAACGCUGGCGGCGUGCCUAAUACAUGCAAGUCGAGCGCGGGAAGCUUGCGGAAUCCUUCGGGAGGAAGUGAGCGGACCGAGCGGCGGACGGGUGAGUAACACGUGGGCAACCUGCCCGUAAGACGGGGAUACCCCCGGGAAACCGGGGCUAAUACCGGAUAGGUGACCUUUCUGCAUGGAGGGGUCAUGAAAGGCGGCGGAAGCCGUCGCUUACGGAGGGGCCCGCGGCGCAUUAGCUAGUUGGUGAGGGAAGGGCUCACCAAGGCGACGAUGCGUAGCCGGCCUGAGAGGGUGAACGGCCACACUGGGACUGAGACACGGCCCAGACUCCUACGGGAGGCAGCAGUAGGGAAUCUUCCGCAAUGGACGGAAGUCUGACGGAGCAACGCCGCGUGAGUGAGGAAGGCCUUCGGGUCGUAAAGCUCUGUUGUUCGUGAAGAAGGGGUUGGCCAGGAAAUGGGCCGACAUUGACGGUAGCGAACCAGAAAGCCCCGGCUAACUACGUGCCAGCAGCCGCGGUAACACGUAGGGGGCAAGCGUUGUCCGGAAUGAUUGGGCGUAAAGGGCGCGCAGGCGGCCUCUUAAGUCUGAUGUGAAAGCCCACGGCUCAACCGUGGAGGGACAUUGGAAACUGGGGGGCUUGAGUGCAGGAGAGGGGAGUGGAAUUCCACGGGUAGCGGUGAAAUGCGUAGAGAUGUGGAGGAACACCAGUGGCGAAGGCGGCUCUCUGGCCUGUGACUGACGCUGAGGCGCGAAAGCGUGGGGAGCGAACAGGAUUAGAUACCCUGGUAGUCCACGCCGUA